CGGACCACCCGAGUGAAUAGUCCUCGCGCCGGUGGGACACGGCGGUGAGUGCUUUCCCCUCGCCUCCAGCCUCCAGGAGGUUCCCGGCGCCUCAGGCAGCUGCAGCUUCGAAGCGGCUGCCACCGCACCUGGGCAGCCUGGACCCUCGUGCCCUGCUCCCGAGGCCUUGCGCGGUGGGCGCCCCGGGACACCCCUGCGGGCCGGGUGGAGGAGGAGAAAGAAGAAUAAGAGGAAGACGUGGACCAGGAUCCCCAACCUCCCCACAACACCUGGCCUCUCCGCUUCCACUUCUUUCACACAAGGAGAGAGGAGCCAGCAAGAGCCAUGGGGGGCUGCGAAGUCCGAGAAUUUCUUUGGCAAUUUGGAUUCUUUUUGCCUCUGAGGACAGCUUGGCCGGGCUACUGUAGUCACGUCUCCAACAACCAAGUGGACUUACCUGCUGAAAGGAAGAUUCCCUGGGGAGACACAUCAUCAGUGACUAAAUUGACCUUCACAUGUAUGGACUGGUCUUCUCUAUGCCUGAUUAAUGGGUGAUGGAUGCGGACACACUGUACUAGGCCUUGAAAGUGGAACUCUUGCAUCUAUAAACUACCCUCAGACCUAUCCCAGCAGUACCGUUUGCAAAUGGGAGAUCCAUGUCAAGAUGGGAGAAUGAAUUCGGGUCAAAUUGGGUGAUGUUAACAUUGAAGAUUCUGAUUCUUGUCAUUUUAAUUACUUGAGAAUUUAUAAUGGAAUUGGACUUGGCAGAACAGAAAUAGGUAGGACAUUUU
This 770-nucleotide long non-coding RNA is filed under the name Cavia porcellus (domestic guinea pig). RNAcentral's name for it is "lncRNA (ENSCPOG00000039661.1)". Lineage: Eukaryota; Metazoa; Chordata; Mammalia; Rodentia; Caviidae. The record is from RNAcentral.